This 450-nucleotide ribosomal RNA is filed under the name uncultured bacterium. RNAcentral describes it as "bacterial SSU rRNA". It matches the Rfam family "Bacterial small subunit ribosomal RNA", at positions 330 to 794 of the family's 1533-position model. The record is from RNAcentral.
ACCAGACUCCUACGGGAGGCAGCAGUGGGGAAUAUUGGACAAUGGGGGGAACCCUGAUCCAGCGACGCCGCGUGAGUGAAGAAGUAUUUCGGUAUGUAAAGCUCUAUCAGCAGGGAAGAAAGAAAUGACGGUACCUGACUAAGAAGCCCCGGCUAACUACGUGCCGGCAGCCGCGGUAAUACGUAGGGGGCAAGCGUUAUCCGGAUUUACUGGGUGUAAAGGGAGCGUAGACGGCGAUGCAAGUCUGAAGUGAAAGGCGGGGGCCCAACCCCCGGACUGCUUUGGAAACUGUAUGGCUGGAGUGCAGGAGAGGUAAGUGGAAUUCCUAGUGUAGCGGUGAAAUGCGUAGAUAUUCGGAGGAACACCGGUGGCGAAGGCGGCCAACUGGGCUUUAACUGACGCUGAGGCUCGAAAGUGUGGGGAGCAAACAGGAUUAGAUACCCGAGUAGA